Molecule: ribosomal RNA, 466 nt
Filed under: Actinomyces sp. oral taxon C25
Lineage: Bacteria; Bacillati; Actinomycetota; Actinomycetes; Actinomycetales; Actinomycetaceae
Description: bacterial SSU rRNA
Rfam family: Bacterial small subunit ribosomal RNA
Source: RNAcentral
GACGAACGCUGGCGGCGUGCUUAACACAUGCAAGUCGAACGGUGAAGCGCUUGCCUUUUUGGUGGGUGUGGAUGAGUGGCGAACGGGUGAGUAACACGUGAGUAACCUGCCCUCUUCUUCUGGAUAACCUCAUGAAAGUGGGGCUAAUACGGGGUAUUCCGGGUCUAUCGCAUGGCGGGUUUGGGAAAGAUUGCGCCUUUGGGUGUUUUCGGUGGGGGAUGGGCUCGCGGCCUAUCAGCUUGUUGGUGGGGUGAUGGCCUACCAAGGCGGUGACGGGUAGCCGGCCUGAGAGGGUGGACGGCCACACUGGGACUGAGACACGGCCCAGACUCCUGCGGGAGGCAGCAGUGGGGAAUAUUGCACAAUGGGCGCAAGCCUGAUGCAGCGACGCCGCGUGAGGGAUGGAGGCCUUCGGGUUGUGAACCUCUUUCGCCAGUGAAGCAGGCCUGCUUCCUGUGUGGGUGGG